AUCAAAAACAUGGCCUUUUGAAAAAUAAUUUAAGGUCUAGCCNGCCCACUGAAGUUUAAAGGGCCGCGGUAACUUGACCGUGCUAAGGUAGCAUAAUCAUUAGUUUUUUAAUUAAAAGCUGGAAUGAAUGGUUGGAUGAGAGAGCGACUGUCUCUAUUUAAUUUUAAUUGAAUUUUAUAUUUAAGUUAAAAAGCUUAAAUAAUAUUUAAAGACGAGAAGACCCUUUAGAGUUUAAUAGUUUUAUAUUAAUGAUAUUUUUAGAAUUAUAAUUUUAUUGGUAAAUAAUUAUUUGAUUGGGGAGAUUGUAAAAUUUAAUAAACUUUUAUUUUUUUAAUACAUAAAUUUAUGAGUAUUUGAUCCAUAGGGAAAUGAUUACAAGAUUAAAUUACCUUAGGGAUAACAGCGUAAUUUUUUUUGAGAGUUCAAAUCGAAAAAAAAGGUUGCGACCUCGAUGUUGGAUUAAAAUUUAUCUNUGGUGUAGAAGCUAAAGUAUUAG
This 496-nucleotide ribosomal RNA is filed under the name Peblephaeus okinawanus okinawanus. RNAcentral's name for it is "partial 16S rRNA". It matches the Rfam family "Bacterial large subunit ribosomal RNA", at positions 1806 to 2575 of the family's 2925-position model. Lineage: Eukaryota; Metazoa; Arthropoda; Insecta; Coleoptera; Cerambycidae. The record is from RNAcentral.